UCCUGACCGUGCAAAGGUAGCAUAAUAAUUUGCCCGUUAAUUGCGGGCUGGUAUGAACGGGCUCACGAAAUAUACUCUGUCUCUACUAACUCAAAUUAAACUAACUUCUAGAUGAAGAGGUCUAAAUAAAAUUGAAGGACAAGAAGACCCUAUAGAGCUUUACUCUAAUAAUACUUACUAUUAUACGUGUUCGGUUGGGGCGACCAGGGAAUAAAAAUCCUCCCUAAGAAAAAAGAAAAAUACUUCAAAGCUAUGACCCUAAUAAGAUCAAAAGAGCAAGCUACCUUAGGGAUAACAGGCUAAUCUUCCUAAAGAGACCUUAUUAAUAGGAGGGAUUGGCACCUCGAUGUUGGCUUAGGAGAUCCUU
Molecule: ribosomal RNA, 367 nt
Filed under: Stylodrilus heringianus
Lineage: Eukaryota; Metazoa; Annelida; Clitellata; Lumbriculida; Lumbriculidae
Description: partial 16S Ribosomal RNA
Rfam family: Bacterial large subunit ribosomal RNA
Source: RNAcentral